Molecule: RNA transcript, 1552 nt
Organism: Scophthalmus maximus (turbot)
Lineage: Eukaryota; Metazoa; Chordata; Actinopteri; Pleuronectiformes; Scophthalmidae
Gene: eif4h
Gene name: eukaryotic translation initiation factor 4h
Exons: 8
Source: RefSeq, a predicted model, not a curated record
GGGCACCUCGGCCCGCUCCGUGUGUGACGUGAAGGACCUCCUCCUCCGACACACAGCAGCAGCAAUGGCGGAGUACGACAGCUACGACGAGCGGGAGCGGAGCUACAGCAGCUUCGGCGGCGGCAGAGGGUCCCGUGGCAGCAGUGGCCCCGGAGGCCCCGGAGGACCCAAGAAGCAGAAGGACCUGCCGUCGGAGCCCCCGUUCACGGCCUACGUUGGAAACCUGCCAUUCUACGCGGUGCAGGGAGACAUCGACCUCAUCUUCAAAGAGCUCAAGAUCCGCAGCGUCCGAUUGGUCAGAGACAAAGAAACGGACAAGUUCAAAGGUUUUUGUUAUGUGGAGUUUGAAGACCUGGAAUCUCUAAAAGAAGCUCUGACGUACGACGGAGCUCAGCUCGGUGAGCGGUCGCUUAGGGUCGACAUCGCAGAGGGUCGGAGGCAAGAGCGAGGAGGAGGAGGAGGAGGCGGCUUCGGCUUCAGGAAAGAUGAAGGUAGAGGACGAGGAGGAGGAGGAGGAGGAGGUUUCCGUGGUUCUUCCAGAGGCGGGAGUGGACGUGAGGACUUCGAGCCGGCGGGAGGACGAUCGGACAGAGAGUUCAGCGGCUCAGGUUGGACAACAGCAGAUCCCAGCCGGCCAAUCACAACAGGGUUGGGCUGUCUGUCUGCCUGCCUGUCUGUCUCUCAGCAGGUUUUAGAGAUGACGACUUCAGUGGCCGGACUCGGGGCGGCGGUACCAGUCGCCCCUCUGACAGGAGGGGGGCAGGAGGAGCAGGAGGAGGAGCAGCAGGAGGAGGAGCAGGAGGAGCGGGUCGCUUCAGAGACGGACCUCCUCCUGCUGACUUCAGGGAACCGUCUGACGAGGAGCGAGCACAGCGGCCUCGGCUGCAGCUGAAGCCUCGGACCGUCUCUGAGCCCCUCAACCAGGUCGCCAACCCGAACUCCGCCAUCUUCGGUGGAGCCAAACCGAGAGAGGAGCCCUGAGUCAUUUCACCCUGCGACAGCCUCCCAGCCAGACGGUGGCGCUAACGCGACGUGUCGCCGACAGACAAGAAGAAAUUUAAAGUCAUUCUCCUUUUUUCUUUUCUUUUUUUAUGUUUUGUUUCUCCUCCUCUCGUUGCUUCAGUGUGGAUCACGUGGAGGUCGACACCCGCCGAGAAAAAUUCUACAAAACGAGCUUCAAAAGUCAAAAUGAUGAAUUAUUGUACAGUUGUAGUUUUUUUGGUUUGUGGUUUCCUGUAGUCCUCCAUCUUUAAAACCUGUAGGCAGAACUGAAGGGACUGGACCUGACACCUGGUCCAGUGGAGGUCCGCAGGUCUCAGCGUGGACCAGGAUCAGGUCCGGGUCUGUAGUGGAUCAUGUGAACAGGAAUUAAACCCUCAGUAUUUUCAGUCUGCGUCGCUUCUCAGAACAUUUGUGUCGCUUUGUUUCCCAGGACGUUAAAAAGGAAAAACUUUUUCUUAUCAUACCAGAAAAAAAAGAAAAAAACCCCGGCUGUUUUAAGGUUUUCUUUCCAAACAAUGUUUAUGGCAAUAAAACUGUAUCUUCAUCAUCA